RNAcentral lists this ribosomal RNA (497 nucleotides) under uncultured bacterium. RNAcentral's name for it is "partial 16S ribosomal RNA". It matches the Rfam family "Bacterial small subunit ribosomal RNA", at positions 28 to 507 of the family's 1533-position model. The record is from RNAcentral.
GACGAACGCUGGCGGCGUGCCUAAUACAUGCAGGUCGAGCGCUGAAGCUUGGUACUGGUACCGACUGGAUGAGCAGCGGACGGGUGAGUAACGCGUGGGGAAUCUGCCUUUGAGCGGGGGACAACAGUUGGAAACGAAUGCUAAGGCCACAUAAAACCUUUAAACACAAGGGGUAGGAUUGAAAGAUGCGAUGGCGUCACUCAAAGAGGAUCUCGCGUUGUAUUAGCGAGUUGGUGAGAUAAAGGCUCACCAAGGCGAUGAGACAUAGCCGAACUGAGAGGGUGAUAGGCCACAUUGGGAGUGAGACACGGACCAAACGCCUACGGGAGGGAGCAGUAGGGAACCUUAGGCAAGAGACGAGAGUAUGACCGAGUAACGCCGCGUGAGAGACGAAGGUUCUCGGGUCGUAAAAAUCGGUUGGUAGAGAAGAACGUUGGUGAGAGUGGACAGCUCAUCAAGUGACGGUAACUACUAAGAAAGGGACGGCUAACUACGUG